RNAcentral lists this ribosomal RNA (305 nucleotides) under uncultured bacterium. Its description in RNAcentral is "partial 16S ribosomal RNA". It matches the Rfam family "Bacterial small subunit ribosomal RNA", at positions 335 to 657 of the family's 1533-position model. The record is from RNAcentral.
AUGCCUACGGGGGGCAGCAGUGGGGGAUAUUGCACAAUGGGGGGAACCCUGAUGCAGCGACGCCGCGUGGGUGAAGAAGCGCCUCGGCGCGUAAAGCCCUGUCAGCAGGGAAGAAAAUGACGGUACCUGAAGAAGAAGCCCCGGCUAACUACGUGCCAGCAGCCGCGGUAAUACGUAGGGGGCAAGCGUUAUCCGGAUUUACUGGGUGUAAAGGGGGCGCAGACGGCGAUGCAAGCCAGGAGUGAAAGCCCGGGGCCCAACCCCGGGACUGCUCUUGGAACUGUUGGACUAGAUUGCAGAAGAGG